RNAcentral lists this small nucleolar RNA (72 nucleotides) under Panthera leo (lion). RNAcentral's name for it is "Small nucleolar RNA SNORD113/SNORD114 family (ENSPLOG00000009150.1)". It matches the Rfam family "Small nucleolar RNA SNORD113/SNORD114 family". From Rfam's summary of the family: The imprinted human domain at 14q32 contains two clusters of tandemly repeated small nucleolar RNAs named 14q(I) and 14q(II) snoRNAs. These two clusters are named SNORD113 and SNORD114 respectively in the HGNC approved gene symbol nomenclature. The snoRNAs found in both clusters are clearly related and are represented here by a single family. The record is from Rfam by way of RNAcentral. Lineage: Eukaryota; Metazoa; Chordata; Mammalia; Carnivora; Felidae.
UGGAUCGAUGAUGACCAGUGAUGGUGUAUGAGUCAUAUAUGAUAAAUACGUGUCUGGAACUCUGAGGUCCCA